CGCACAUAUUGUACGGUACACUUUCUUGAGGUCAUCCUCCCGGCACCUCAUACUAGUGGCCAGGGCCGGCUCUAGGCACGUUCGACUAGAGCGGCCGCGCGGGGCGCCACCCUUAAUGGGCGCCGCGCGCUGGCGCCGCCAUAGUCUUACCUGGAGCCGGCCCUGUACACUGCAGGCAGCUCUCCCCGCCGUCCCCGGCCUUUCAAAACUGUGCGCUGCGCUGCGCGGCGCCGGCGUCUGACGUCAGACGCCGCGCAGCGCGCACCAAGCGGCCGGGAACAGUCGGUGGCCCUCAGGCUCAACAGCAGCACGUCCACUCCCAGCGUCGCCGCAGGUGUCUCUAUUGUUUCUUUUUCCAGUUCCAUUUUGAGUGCCAAAGUAGGCCAUUUUUCAGUUUCAUUUAAAAUAAAAAGGAUCCUUUAUUUUCUGAGCCGAUAUGGAGUACGCUCCUGCAAUCCUGUCCCUGAAUGCUAAGUUCCCUGGGAACUCCCAUGAUGCCCAUGUCAUUAGACAAUCAGGGAUAUGGCAAAGAUUAAGAACGAUGGAAGGCCAAGACAUGUGGCUAUUGGGAGACCGUGGAUAUCCUUGCACCCCCCUGGCUCAUGACUCCUUACAGUAAACCCAGGCCAGGACCACAGACGGCAUUUAACUCCGCACUUACUGCCACUAGACAGCUGGUGGAGCGCACGAUUGGUGUUCUUAAAGGGCGUUUUUGUGUGCUCCACCGCACUGGUGGCGACAUCAUGUAUUCGCCGGAGAUGGUAAGUAAAAUUGUGGUCCUGUGCGCUAUCCUACAUAACAUCGCUGUAAGGAGUCGCGUAGAGCUUCCCCAAACGGAGGAAUUGCCGGAUGAGGAGCCAGGGGUUGACCGGACAUUCGGUGGCGGGAGUGUGUACCGCCAGGGGAAUGCAGUAAGGGCUAGAAUUGUCCGGGAUUAUUUCAGGGCAAGCACAACGGCGAGCAGCGGCUGCAAGGCGGUGCCUUCGAGGGCCAGGCUAAGCCCCUUCUCCGCCCAGUCCCCUUCUAUGGCCCACUCCUCCUCUCCGGCCCCCUCCCCCUCUCUUUCCCAAUCCCCCUCUCCGGCCCCCUACCCCUCUCCGGCCCCCUACCCCUCUCCGGCCCACUCCCCUCUUUGGCCCCCUCCCCCUCUCUUUCCCAAUCCCCCUCUCCGGCCCACUCCCCCUCUCCGCCCCCCCUCCCCCUCUCUUUCCCAAUCCCCCUCU
Pseudophryne corroboree (corroboree frog) is the source of this 1223-nucleotide long non-coding RNA. RefSeq lists it as uncharacterized. The transcript is spliced from 6 exons. Lineage: Eukaryota; Metazoa; Chordata; Amphibia; Anura; Myobatrachidae. The record is from RefSeq and is a predicted model, not a curated record.